GAGGAAUAUUGCGCAAUGGGGGCAACCCUGACGCAGCGACGCCGCGUGGAUGAUGAAGGCCCUUGGGUCGUAAAAUCCUGUCAGAUGGAAAGAAACGUAUAUAUGCUAAUACCGUAUAUAUUUGACGGUACCAUCAAAGGAAGCACCGGCUAACUCCGUGCCAGCAGCCGCGGUAAUACGGAGGGUGCAAGCGUUGUUCGGAAUUACUGGGCGUAAAGCGCGCGUAGGCGGUUUGCUCAGUCAGAUGUGAAAGCCCUCGGCUUAACCGGGGACGUGCAUUUGAUACUGGCAGACUUGAGUACUGGAGGGGGUGGUGGAAUUCCCGGUGUAGAGGUGAAAUUCGUAGAUAUCGGGAGGAAUACCGGUGGCGAAGGCGACCACCUGGCCAGAUACUGACGCUGAGGUGCGAAAGCGUGGGGAGCAAAC
RNAcentral lists this ribosomal RNA (426 nucleotides) under uncultured bacterium. RNAcentral's name for it is "bacterial SSU rRNA". It matches the Rfam family "Bacterial small subunit ribosomal RNA", at positions 356 to 773 of the family's 1533-position model. The record is from RNAcentral.